This is a long non-coding RNA of Triticum dicoccoides, 1220 nucleotides long. RefSeq lists it as uncharacterized. The record is from RefSeq and is a predicted model, not a curated record. Lineage: Eukaryota; Viridiplantae; Streptophyta; Magnoliopsida; Poales; Poaceae. The transcript has 3 exons.
UAAGAGGCUGUUUCCAGGACUUGAACCCAUGACCUCAUGGUCACAAGGCAACAGCUUUACCACUGCGCCAAGGCUCCCCUUCCUGUACAUGCAUCCAUGUCUGUCAGAAAUAAGUUGAUGCUGCAGAUAGGGCUUCCAGCUUGACAGAUGUAACUGUUGAUACUUGAUAGUCUGGUCCGGUCUAUCAACGUGGCCGACGGUGUGAAAGCCAGAUUUUUCACCAAUAUCCUGGCACUUGUGGAAUCUGCGGUAGAGAAGGUCAUUGCAUUUAGUCAGUACAUUACUUCCCAUGAAUUUUUUGGAAAGUCUAUUGGUUAAGACAAGGGGCUGGCAAGUAGGAGAGUUCUUUGUGAUCCGUGGUGAUAAUAAAUCUACUUCAGAAGAUAGAGAACUGAUCAGUUUAACAACUCUAUUGAUGCAAAAGUCCUGUUUGGCUCUACCAAGGCAUGUAGGGAGGGCAUCUCCCUAGUGGGCGCAUCAAGAGUCUUCAUUCUAGAUGUUCACUUGAACCCCUCUGUUGCCCGUCAGGCAAUUGAGCGGGCGUACUGGCCUGGGCAGCAAAAGGAAGUGUUGGCUCGUAGCAGCUGAUUCUCUGGAAAACACCUAUGAAACUGCACUCAAGAAGGAGGUGAUACCAAAGCUGUGGUUUGAAUGGAGUGAGCAGCGCUGCACGUCGGAGGACUUCCAGCUGAACGAAGUUGGUAUCGAUGACAGUGGGGAUGAGCUGCUGGACAACAGGAUGAUAUGCUAGGACAUCAAGGCUUUUUAUAUGCAAGGUGAAGGUUCUGUGAAGGCUGGUCAAAGAGGAUAUAAUAGUAGACACCUAAUAGCUUAUGCUGUCUUAGAAACUCCUGCCUCGGUGAUUUCUGCCAUGAAGUCUCUGCAAGGUUAUUUGUUUGACAUACAUGACAAAUACUCGCUCAAAUUGGACCUUCCAUUAUUUGCUGGUCCGAGGUCAACUGAUGCAUCUUUGUGGGUUUUGGUUUCUUCAAUAUCAAUCUAAAACCUUCAAUUUGCAAUUGCUUCCUUUGCUUUUGUUUCCUCAUGAACAAGAAUGGACAACUUGAUUGUUUCUUGGGCCUUACCUGAUAUGAUAUGAUGAGCCUAUAUUAGAAUUGGAAUUGGUAUUAUAAGUUGCAUGUUGUAUGAGAUACUCGAGUUUGUUAUUUCAUAUUGUAACUUAUCAUGUAUCUGCGUGACCCAUACAAGACAGUAUGCGA